Molecule: non-coding RNA, 1822 nt
Organism: Rhopilema esculentum
Lineage: Eukaryota; Metazoa; Cnidaria; Scyphozoa; Rhizostomeae; Rhizostomatidae
Source: RefSeq, a predicted model, not a curated record
UGUCGUUGCUUACCAUUAAAAAAUUUAGAGACAAAAUUAUUGGGGUGUAAAACAGCUUGUAUUGCCACCCCAUGCUUCCCCUUGGCUACGGGCCUGCAUUGGAGAAAAAUAUGCAAAUCUACUAUGCAAAUGGUCAGGGUUUUACUUGAACAACAGCCACCACUAGCUAGGUACUUAUCAUAUACCAUCUUUUGUCAGGGACCCACAGGCACGUAAAUAAUAGGGGGGCGUGGGGGGCGUAACGCCCCCCCAAAGUUUGGAAAAUCCAGUUACAGUUGGAAAACUUAACGGUUGACUUGGAUUUUUUUCUUAAGUCCAAACUUAUGAAUUUUAUAUUUUAAGAAGUUUUUUUAUUUCAAAUGUAAAAAUUCUAAACAUCAAAAUUCACAGGCUGAAUCUGACUCAUCCAUUUAUCGUUUUCUAUUGUGAAUCCCGUCUCCACUGGAUCCAAAUUGCACAAUUGCCCCGUUUGCUUUCUUUCUGAUGGGAGUUGAAUCAAAUUACGAACAGGCAAGGUGAAUUUCCGGAUAAGAAACUUGAAACUUUACAGUUUGGAAUAAUAAUACCCGCAUUGAUCAGAAAAUUUUAGAGUGGGAGAUUUUUAAGAAACUACGAGUAGUUAAUUCAAUAAAAGAUUAAGAAACUUUCAGUACUAAAAAUUCUUAACGCUUCUUAUAAAAAAGGAGUUUAUGCUAAACUCCCCCUGUUAUUUGUUAACGUCCUUGACUCAUUAUCAUAAAUUCCUAUGACAAAACUGCUGUGAAGCAAGAACACAUUGCAAAAUUGCAGUAGAAGUAUUUGAUCAAAGAAGAGUGUUUCAUCUUUCGAAUCAGGCAUAUGCACAAGUUUGCUCUCAAAUCAUCAUUUCAAUUGUAAAGAACGAAAAGGCAUUUGGUCCUCUGAAAAGUGUUAGUAGUUUUCUUCGAUCAAGAACAAAAAUAAAAGGCUCGAAUUCUGGGUGCUUCUAUAUCGUGAAAAAAAAGGAAUUUUAGAUACAUAGAUCUGCAUCAAUUGAUCAAUUGAUCAAUUUAGAUAAAAUUGAUCAAUUGAUCUGAAAGAAUACUACUAAUCGUUAAGUAUAUCUAAUACUGGUUUUGCUUGAAUGUUGCUUUACUUCUUACAGCAAGUUUAAAUUUUUGUUUCAUGGUAAUCAAAAUUUAGAGAUUUAGGCUUUUAUGCUUUAGGCUAUUUGUUGAGUAAGGUUUUGGUAAUUAUAAAGAAAAUAGAACUAUGGUGUUCGGGCUAUUUACAAAUAUCAAUUUGGUGGGUACAGUAGAUUUACUGGUCGCAUCAAAAAUUUCUCACUUAAAGUUGGAAUUUUCAUCCUUCCACGCCCCUCCAAAAUUAGCAACUUAUUUUCGUCCCUGGGGACCCAGUGCUGCUCUUUACAUGAAGGAAUCACCACAUGGUAAAACUACCUCCAAGUAGAUGGUGAAGUUACCUCCAAGUAGAUGGCAAAGUCACCUCUAAGACAACCAAAAGCAUAGAGUAUUGGAAGGCAACAAAAUGUUCAGUGAAAAUGUCAUCCCGUAGCAAAGAGGCUUAAGGCCUUCCUCAGACAGACAGCAGAGCCAGACAGCAGAGCCAGACGACCGACGAAGAAAACUAGGGGCUUCGUCUAAUCAUCAUUGUGCUAGUUACAAAAGAGAAUCAAAAAAUUGUAUCGCUGAAACCUGCAACCUCCGCAUAAAGAAAAUCCAGAUUUUACAAAAGAGAAUCAGAAAAUUGUAUCGCCAAAACCUGCAACCUCCGCAAAAAGAAAAUCCAGAUUGUAAGUACGAUCUUACGUUGUUUUCUCUGUAAUUGGUACUCCAGUAUGUCC